RNAcentral lists this transfer RNA (86 nucleotides) under Anaerococcus hydrogenalis. Its description in RNAcentral is "tRNA-Leu". It matches the Rfam family "tRNA". Rfam says of the family: Transfer RNA (tRNA) molecules are approximately 80 nucleotides in length. Their secondary structure includes four short double-helical elements and three loops (D, anti-codon, and T loops). Further hydrogen bonds mediate the characteristic L-shaped molecular structure. tRNAs have two regions of fundamental functional importance: the anti-codon, which is responsible for specific mRNA codon recognition, and the 3' end, to which the tRNAs corresponding amino acid is attached (by aminoacyl-tRNA synthetases). tRNAs cope with the degeneracy of the genetic code in two manners: having more than one tRNA (with a specific anti-codon) for a particular amino acid; and 'wobble' base-pairing, i.e. permitting non-standard base-pairing at the 3rd anti-codon position. Lineage: Bacteria; Bacillati; Bacillota; Tissierellia; Tissierellales; Peptoniphilaceae. RNAcentral also lists the same sequence under 16 other names. The record is from RNAcentral.
GCGGGAUUGGCGGAAUUGGCAGACGCGCUAGACUUAGGAUCUAGUGAGAUUUUCUCGUGAAGGUUCAACUCCUUUAUCCCGCACCA